Molecule: ribosomal RNA, 460 nt
Filed under: uncultured bacterium
Lineage: Bacteria
Description: partial 16S ribosomal RNA
Rfam family: Bacterial small subunit ribosomal RNA
Source: RNAcentral
CCUACGGGUGGCUGCAGUGAGGAAUAUUGGUCAAUGGACGAGAGUCUGAACCAGCCAAGUAGCGUGAAGGAUGACUGCCCUAUGGGUUGUAAACUUCUUUUAUAUGGGAAUAAAACGAGCCACGUGUGGCUUUUUGUAUGUACUUUAUGAAUAAGGAUCGGCUAACUCCGUGCCAGCAGCCGCGGUAAUACGGAGGAUCCGAGCGUUAUCCGGAUUUAUUGGGUUUAAAGGGAGCGUAGAUGGGUUGUUAAGUCAGUUGUGAAAGUUUGCGGCUCAACCGUAAAAUUGCAAUUGAUACUGGCAGUCUUGAGUACAGUAGAGGUAGGCGGAAUUCGUGGUGUAGCGGUGAAAUGCUUAGAUAUCACGAAGAACUCCGAUUGCGAAGGCAGCUUACUAGACUGUGACUGACAUUGAGGCUCGAAAGUGUGGGUAUCAAACAGGAUUAGAUACCCCUGUAGUC